RNAcentral lists this ribosomal RNA (851 nucleotides) under uncultured bacterium. RNAcentral describes it as "bacterial SSU rRNA". It matches the Rfam family "Bacterial small subunit ribosomal RNA", at positions 54 to 904 of the family's 1533-position model. The record is from RNAcentral.
CAUGCAAGUCGAACGAGAAUCUACUGAAAGAGUUUUCGGACAAUGGAUGUAGAGGAAAGUGGCGGACGGGUGAGUAACGCGUGAGGAACCUGCCUUGAAGAGGGGGACAACAGUUGGAAACGACUGCUAAUACCGCAUGACGCAUAGAGGUCGCAUGAUCUUUAUGCCAAAGAUUUAUCGCUUCAAGAUGGCCUCGCGUCUGAUUAGCUGGUUGGCGGGGUAACGGCCCACCAAGGCGACGAUCAGUAGCCGGACUGAGAGGUUGAACGGCCACAUUGGGACUGAGAUACGGCCCAGACUCCUACGGGAGGCAGCAGUGGGGAAUAUUGGGCAAUGGGCGCAAGCCUGACCCAGCAACGCCGCGUGAAGGAAGAAGGCUUUCGGGUUGUAAACUUCUUUUAAGAGGGAAGAGCAGAAGACGGUACCUCUAGAAUAAGCCACGGCUAACUACGUGCUAGCAGCCGCGGUAAUACGUAGGUGGCAAGCGUUGUCCGGAUUUACUGGGUGUAAAGGGCGUGCAGCCGGGUCUGCAAGUCAGAUGUGAAAUCCAUGGGCUCAACCCAUGAACUGCAUUUGAAACUGUAGAUCUUGAGUGUCGGAGGGGCAAUCGGAAUUCCUAGUGUAGCGGUGAAAUGCGUAGAUAUUAGGAGGAACACCAGUGGCGAAGGCGGAUUGCUGGACGAUAACUGACGGUGAGGCGCGAAAGUGUGGGGAGCAAACAGGAUUAGAUACCCUGGUAGUCCACACUGUAAACGAUGAAUACUAGGUGUGCGGGGACUGACCCCUUGCGUGCCGCAGUAAACACAAUAAGUAUUCCACCUGGGGAGUACGAUCGCAAGGUUGAAACUCAA